Molecule: ribosomal RNA, 541 nt
Filed under: Escherichia coli
Lineage: Bacteria; Pseudomonadati; Pseudomonadota; Gammaproteobacteria; Enterobacterales; Enterobacteriaceae
Description: partial 23S ribosomal RNA
Rfam family: Bacterial large subunit ribosomal RNA
Source: RNAcentral
AAAGCAGGUCAUAGUGAUCCGGUGGUUCUGAAUGGAAGGGCCAUCGCUCAACGGAUAAAAGGUACUCCGGGGAUAACAGGCUGAUACCGCCCAAGAGUUCAUAUCGACGGCGGUGUUUGGCACCUCGAUGUCGGCUCAUCACAUCCUGGGGCUGAAGUAGGUCCCAAGGGUAUGGCUGUUCGCCAUUUAAAGUGGUACGCGAGCUGGGUUUAGAACGUCGUGAGACAGUUCGGUCCCUAUCUGCCGUGGGCGCUGGAGAACUGAGGGGGGCUGCUCCUAGUACGAGAGGACCGGAGUGGACGCAUCACUGGUGUUCGGGUUGUCAUGCCAAUGGCACUGCCCGGUAGCUAAAUGCGGAAGAGAUAAGUGCUGAAAGCAUCUAAGCACGAAACUUGCCCCGAGAUGAGUUCUCCCUGACUCCUUGAGAGUCCUGAAGGAACGUUGAAGACGACGACGUUGAUAGGCCGGGUGUGUAAGCGCAGCGAUGCGUUGAGCUAACCGGUACUAAUGAACCGUGAGGCUUAACCUUACAACGCCGAAG